Ceratotherium simum simum (southern white rhinoceros) is the source of this 880-nucleotide non-coding RNA. NCBI's taxonomy places the organism in Eukaryota, Metazoa, Chordata, Mammalia, Perissodactyla, Rhinocerotidae. The record is from RefSeq and is a predicted model, not a curated record.
UAGUUGCAUCAAAUACCAUCAGACCAAUAAUGAUUUUUUGCUUCUUAUAGGCAUUGAGCAUCUCCCCCAUUGUGUAAUAUUCCUCAGAUCAUCAAACACCAAACUAGAUGUGGUAAACUGAAUUACAAUCAUCCAAACUGAAAGGAUGAAGAACGUUAGUCAGUACAUUGGUUCUUUAAUGCUGUGUUGUUUCAAACAAAACAUCAAAUAUUUCAUGUAGUAGAAAUGACACUCACUUGCAAUAAUGCCCAAACACUUCUGAGAGGAAAAACAACCGUUUUUCUGAGAAAAAAAUGGGAUAAACCAAAUGAGUAAUAUAAAAUGUUCACAUAACCCCAAAUUUGGCUACCCAUAAAAUAAUUAUAUUUUCAGCAUUCUUUUGGCAUAUAUGCAUAUUAUACUUGAAAUUAUCCAAUUCAUUUUUGAGAAAUCAUAUUCCAAUUCCAAUUCUAUAAGGGUUUGGGUGUCACCUAUUAAAAUCAUCAAGAUCUAAUGAACAGAAGGCUGUAUUUUGGAAAGUCCAAUGCUCUGACUAAUCCAGUUACAUAAAUUAUCAUCUUUUUUUGCCAAUGGUAAGGUAUCAUGGGGAUCUUGAGAAUGAUCUAUUUUCAAACAUAUUAUUAUAUAUUACAAUCCGUGAUUUUCCAAAAUGAAACAUACUUAAAAAGAAAAUAUUAAAAUUAUUCUUUUCUUCAUAUCCUCACAAUUUUUUCCCUUCCUUCCUAGGGUCAAAUCUUUGAUUUUGGAAACUCAACAUUAAAUGGGUAAAACAUGGCCAUGAGCACUUUUGGGGAAGGUAAGUGUGGCAGUAAUGGUUCUGAAACUCCCCAGUUAGAGUCUGUGCUGUGAGAAUUACCUGCCGGGGAGGCGUUCUCAGGGC